Molecule: ribosomal RNA, 550 nt
Filed under: Phoma sp. DoF4
Lineage: Eukaryota; Fungi; Ascomycota; Dothideomycetes; Pleosporales; Didymellaceae
Description: eukaryotic LSU rRNA
Rfam family: 5.8S ribosomal RNA (bases 159-312)
Source: RNAcentral
GGACGAGUUUAUUUAAUGGAUCUGAGUGUAGGCUUUGCCUGCUAUCUCUUACCCAUGUCUUUUGAGUACCUUCGUUUCCUCGGCGGGUCCGCCCGCCGAUUGGACACAUUUAAACCCUUUGUAGUUGCAAUCAGCGUCUGAAAAACUUUAAUAGUUACAACUUUCAACAACGGAUCUCUUGGUUCUGGCAUCGAUGAAGAACGCAGCGAAAUGCGAUAAGUAGUGUGAAUUGCAGAAUUCAGUGAAUCAUCGAAUCUUUGAACGCACAUUGCGCCCCUUGGUAUUCCAUGGGGCAUGCCUGUUCGAGCGUCAUUUGUACCUUCAAGCUUUGCUUGGUGUUGGGUGUUUGUCUCGCCUCUGCGCGCAGACUCGCCUCAAAACAAUUGGCAGCCGGCGUAUUGAUUUCGGAGCGCAGUACAUCUCGCGCUUUGCACUCAUAACGACGACGUCCAAAAAGUACAUUUUUUACACUCUUGACCUCGGAUCAGGUAGGGAUACCCGCUGAACUUAAGCAUAUCAAAGUGACCUCGGAUCAGGGAGGGAAAAGAUG